Molecule: ribosomal RNA, 1803 nt
Filed under: Escherichia coli
Lineage: Bacteria; Pseudomonadati; Pseudomonadota; Gammaproteobacteria; Enterobacterales; Enterobacteriaceae
Description: partial 23S ribosomal RNA
Rfam family: Bacterial large subunit ribosomal RNA
Source: RNAcentral
GGGACACGUGGUAUCCUGUCUGAAUAUGGGGGGACCAUCCUCCAAGGCUAAAUACUCCUGACUGACCGAUAGUGAACCAGUACCGUGAGGGAAAGGCGAAAAGAACCCCGGCGAGGGGAGUGAAAAAGAACCUGAAACCGUGUACGUACAAGCAGUGGGAGCCUCUUAAUGGGGUGACUGCGUACCUUUUGUAUAAUGGGUCAGCGACUUAUAUUCUGUAGCAAGGUUAACCGAAUAGGGGAGCCGAAGGGAAACCGAGUCUUAACUGGGCGUUAAGUUGCAGGGUAUAGACCCGAAACCCGGUGAUCUAGCCAUGGGCAGGUUGAAGGUUGGGUAACACUAACUGGAGGACCGAACCGACUAAUGUUGAAAAAUUAGCGGAUGACUUGUGGCUGGGGGUGAAAGGCCAAUCAAACCGGGAGAUAGCUGGUUCUCCCCGAAAGCUAUUUAGGUAGCGCCUCGUGAAUUCAUCUCCGGGGGUAGAGCACUGUUUCGGCAAGGGGGUCAUCCCGACUUACCAACCCGAUGCAAACUGCGAAUACCGGAGAAUGUUAUCACGGGAGACACACGGCGGGUGCUAACGUCCGUCGUGAAGAGGGAAACAACCCAGACCGCCAGCUAAGGUCCCAAAGUCAUGGUUAAGUGGGAAACGAUGUGGGAAGGCCCAGACAGCCAGGAUGUUGGCUUAGAAGCAGCCAUCAUUUAAAGAAAGCGUAAUAGCUCACUGGUCGAGUCGGCCUGCGCGGAAGAUGUAACGGGGCUAAACCAUGCACCGAAGCUGCGGCAGCGACACUAUGUGUUGUUGGGUAGGGGAGCGUUCUGUAAGCCUGUGAAGGUGGCCUGUGAGGGUUGCUGGAGGUAUCAGAAGUGCGAAUGCUGACAUAAGUAACGAUAAAGCGGGUGAAAAGCCCGCUCGCCGGAAGACCAAGGGUUCCUGUCCAACGUUAAUCGGGGCAGGGUGAGUCGACCCCUAAGGCGAGGCCGAAAGGCGUAGUCGAUGGGAAACAGGUUAAUAUUCCUGUACUUGGUGUUACUGCGAAGGGGGGACGGAGAAGGCUAUGUUGGCCGGGCGACGGUUGUCCCGGUUUAAGCGUGUAGGCUGGUUUUCCAGGCAAAUCCGGAAAACCAAGGCUGAGGCGUGAUGACGAGGCACUACGGUGCUGAAGCGACAAAUGCCCUGCUUCCAGGAAAAGCCUCUAAGCAUCAGGUAACAUCAAAUCGUACCCCAAACCGACACAGGUGGUCAGGUAGAGAAUACCAAGGCGCUUGAGAGAACUCGGGUGAAGGAACUAGGCAAAAUGGUGCCGUAACUUCGGGAGAAGGCACGCUGAUAUGUAGGUGAAGCGACUUGCUCGUGGAGCUGAAAUCAGUCGAAGAUACCAGCUGGCUGCAACUGUUUAUUAAAAACACAGCACUGUGCAAACACGAAAGUGGACGUAUACGGUGUGACGCCUGCCCGGUGCCGGAAGGUUAAUUGAUGGGGUUAGCGGCAACGCGAAGCUCUUGAUCGAAGCCCCGGUAAACGGCGGCCGUAACUAUAACGGUCCUAAGGUAGCGAAAUUCCUUGUCGGGUAAGUUCCGACCUGCACGAAUGGCGUAAUGAUGGCCAGGCUGUCUCCACCCGAGACUCAGUGAAAUUGAACUCGCUGUGAAGAUGCAGUGUACCCGCGGCAAGACGGAAAGACCCCGUGAACCUUUACUAUAGCUUGACACUGAACAUUGAGCCUUGAUGUGUAGGAUAGGUGGGAGGCUUUGAAGUGUGGACGCCAGUCUGCAUGGAGCCGACCUUGAAAUACCACCCUU